RNAcentral lists this ribosomal RNA (501 nucleotides) under uncultured bacterium. RNAcentral's name for it is "partial 16S ribosomal RNA". It matches the Rfam family "Bacterial small subunit ribosomal RNA", at positions 29 to 523 of the family's 1533-position model. The record is from RNAcentral.
AUUGAACGCUGGCGGCAUGCCUUACACAUGCAAGUCGAACGGCAGCACGGGUGCUUGCACCUGGUGGCGAGUGGCGAACGGGUGAGUAAUACAUCGGAACGUACCUUAUCGUGGGGGAUAACGCAGCGAAAGCUGUGCUAAUACCGCAUACGCCCUGAGGGGGAAAGCGGGGGAUCGCAAGACCUCGCGCGAUCAGAGCGGCCGAUGUCUGAUUAGCUUGUUGGUGGGGUAAAAGCCCACCAAGGCGACGAUCAGUAGCUGGUCUGAGAGGACGAUCAGCCACACUGGGACUGAGACACGGCCCAGACUCCUACGGGAGGCAGCAGUGGGGAAUUUUGGACAAUGGGGGCAACCCUGAUCCAGCAAUGCCGCGUGAGUGAAGAAGGCCUUCGGGUUGUAAAGCUCUUUUGUCAGGGAAGAAACACCGGCUCUAACACAGUCCGGGAAUGACGGUACCUGAAGAAUAAGCACCGGCUAACUACGUGCCAGCCGCCGCGGUAA